UACGUAGGGGGCAAGCGUUGUCCGGAUUUAUUGGGCGUAAAGAGCUCGUAGGCGGUUUGGUAAGUCUGGUGUGAAAUCUCCACGCUCAACGUGGAGGGGCCACCCGAUACUGCCAUGACUGGAGUUCGGUAGAGGAGUGUGGAAUUCCCGGUGUAGCGGUGAAAUGCGCAGAUAUCGGGAGGAACACCCGUAGCGAAGGCGGCACUCUGGGCCGGAACUGACGCUGAGGAGCGAAAGCGUGGGGAGCAAACAGG
Molecule: ribosomal RNA, 254 nt
Filed under: uncultured bacterium
Lineage: Bacteria
Description: partial 16S ribosomal RNA
Rfam family: Bacterial small subunit ribosomal RNA
Source: RNAcentral